GAUGAACGCUGGCGGCGUGCCUAAUACAUGCAAGUCGAGCGAACGGACGAGAAGCUUGCUUCUCUGAUGUUAGCGGCGGACGGGUGAGUAAAACGUGGAUAACCUACCUAUAAGACUGGGAUAACUUCGGGAAACCGGAGCUAAUACCGGAUAAUAUUUUGAACCGCAUGGUUCAAAAGUGAAAGACGGUCUUGCUGUCACUUAUAGAUGGAUCCGCGCUGCAUUAGCUAGUUGGUAAGGUAACGGCUUACCAAGGCAACGAUGCAUAGCCGACCUGAGAGAGUGAUCGGCCACACUGGAGCUGAGACACGGUCCAGACUCCUACGGGAGGCAGCAGUAGGGAAUCUUCCGCAAUGGGCGAAAGCCUGACGGAGCAACGCCGCGUGAGUGAUGAAGGUCUUCGGAUCGUAAAACUCUGUUAUUAGGGAAAAACAUAUGUGUAAGUAACUGUGCACAUCUUGACGGUACCUAAUCAGAAAGCCACGGCUAACUACGUG
Molecule: ribosomal RNA, 497 nt
Filed under: uncultured bacterium
Lineage: Bacteria
Description: partial 16S ribosomal RNA
Rfam family: Bacterial small subunit ribosomal RNA
Source: RNAcentral